RNAcentral lists this ribosomal RNA (440 nucleotides) under uncultured bacterium. RNAcentral describes it as "partial 16S ribosomal RNA". It matches the Rfam family "Bacterial small subunit ribosomal RNA", at positions 338 to 795 of the family's 1533-position model. The record is from RNAcentral.
CCUACGGGAGGCAGCAGUAGGGAAUAUUGCUCAAUGGGGGAAACCCUGAAGCAGCAACGCCGCGUGGAGGAUGAAGGUUUUCGGAUUGUAAACUUCUUUUGUUAGAGAAGAUAAUGACGGUAUCUAACGAAUAAUCACCGGCUAACUCCGUGCCAGCAGCCGCGGUAAUACGGCGGGUGCAAGCGUGAAUCGGAAUCACUGGGCGUAAAGCGCGCGUAGGCGGGAUAGCAAGUCAGAUGUGAAAUCAUAGGGCUUAACCAUAGAACUGCAUUUGAAACUGUUAUUCUAGAGUGUGGGAGAGGUAGGUGGAAUUCUUGGUGUAGGGGUGAAAUCCGUAGAGAUCAAGAGGAAUACUCAUUGCGAAGGCGACCAGCUAGAACACAUCUGACGCUGAGGCACGAAAGCGUGGGGAUCGAACAGGAUUAGAUACCCUUGUAGUC